CUUUCGUUAUCGGAUUACUGGGCGUAAGCGCGCGUAGGCGGUUUGUUAAGUCAGAUGUGAAAUCCCUGGGGGAAAAAAAAGGGAAUGGCUUUGAGACUGGAGGGCUCCUUCUAAAAAAAAGCCCCGGU
RNAcentral lists this ribosomal RNA (128 nucleotides) under uncultured Gammaproteobacteria bacterium. RNAcentral's name for it is "partial 16S ribosomal RNA". The record is from RNAcentral. Lineage: Bacteria; Pseudomonadati; Pseudomonadota; Gammaproteobacteria.